CAGUAGCCGCGGUAAAACAGAGGAUGCAAGCGUUAUCCGGAAUGAUUGGGCGUAAAGCGUCUGUAGGUGGCUUUUCAAGUCCGCCGUCAAAUCCCAGGGCUCAACCCUGGACAGGCGGUGGAAACUACCAAGCUGGAGUACGGUAGGGGCAGAGGGAAUUUCCGGUGGAGCGGUGAAAUGCGUAGAUAUGCGGAGGAACACCGAUGGCGAAGGCAAUCCCCUGGGCCUGUACUGACGCUCAUGCACGAAAGCGUGGGGAGCAAACAGGAUUAGAUACCCGCGUAGUCCCUGUCUCUUAUAA
This 301-nucleotide ribosomal RNA is filed under the name uncultured bacterium. RNAcentral's name for it is "partial 16S ribosomal RNA". It matches the Rfam family "Bacterial small subunit ribosomal RNA", at positions 509 to 809 of the family's 1533-position model. The record is from RNAcentral.